AUCAGAUGUGUUAAUAAAUUACAUUUUAAGCAAACAAAACUAUAAUUAGAAUCUCCGACUAAAGUAUAUUAUUGGGAUAUAAAGGCUGGUUUAACAAAACUGAGGAGCAUACAUGCAGUUCCGAGGAUUUUAUGUUAUUUUCUGUUGCUGUGGACACAUUUAAAUAUUUUCCUUCAAGCACAGAUGGCAACGGACUGUACGGAGAGCAGCUUUUGGACCGCCUGAAAGCUUAUCAGAGCUUCAACUCCCCCA
Molecule: long non-coding RNA, 252 nt
Organism: Onthophagus taurus
Lineage: Eukaryota; Metazoa; Arthropoda; Insecta; Coleoptera; Scarabaeidae
Source: RefSeq, a predicted model, not a curated record